RNAcentral lists this non-coding RNA (24 nucleotides) under Arabidopsis thaliana (thale cress). The record is from RNAcentral. Lineage: Eukaryota; Viridiplantae; Streptophyta; Magnoliopsida; Brassicales; Brassicaceae.
AGCAUCUCCAGGUACGUUUUCAUG